GCUGUGAUGACUCCCAUGGUAAAAGGUCAGUUUCCGAAGGUGUUGCAAAUUGAUAGAUCGAUUUAGAAUCUUCGUUUUCCAUAAGGUAAGAGUAAAGAAAAUAAAGAAUAUAAAAAGAUAAGAAAAGAUAAAAAAUAUAAAUACAAGCUAGUAGUAAGACUCAAGGUUAUCUUAGCAAACCGUCUUUCUCCCCGGCAACGGCGCCAGAAAUGCUUGUUGAUAUUUGGUAACGCAAUCAGGAAAUGAUCCGCAAGCGCACAGAUAUCAGUGAGCACUUCACCCGGGAUGUUAUCCAGACUAUCGUAUUUAUAGUUUUACCACUAGGAGAAAGCGUGUAUCUGACUAACCCGGUCUAUUACUACUAACCUUUAGGCUACAAACUACGUGACUCGAUGUGAGUGAUAUAUAGAGAAGACUACAACCGCACUCUCGUUCAAACCUUGGUAAGGAUGAUCUACUGUUCUGCUGGGGAGGCUCACGGAAUCUAGACACCACGGAGGAUGUUCGACCAGCACCUAUAAACCCUAUCGAUCGUGCUAACGGUAUAUGGGCUACAAAGGUAACUCGGAAAUGUCACGUUCCUCGCUACUACCACGGUCCGGCUAGACAGGGGAUAUCUAUUAAUAUCCUAGCCCAAACACCACGUUUACGGUAGAGUUGAUUACUCUAAACUCUACACGAAGAGAUCAAAGUAAACUCAUAAACCAAAGAACAAAAAAACAAAGAACUUACUAGAAUUUAGAAGUCAAAAUACUAAAGAAUCCUAGGAGCAAGCCUCGGGUUAGGAGACUUGAUCCCGCAGGACCAACCUCGGAGUAGACACCAACAGGCCGGGCUUCCUCCGAUCUACACCUCCACUCUAUCUCUAUCAAUAUAGUAGAACUAAUUCUACUCUCACAUUGGAUGCUAAGCCCUAUGAGGUGGGAACCCUAAGGAACCUCUCUCUUUGAAUCCUCUAUGGAAAAUAUGCUA
Molecule: long non-coding RNA, 972 nt
Filed under: Sorghum bicolor (sorghum)
Lineage: Eukaryota; Viridiplantae; Streptophyta; Magnoliopsida; Poales; Poaceae
Description: long non-coding RNA (SBIC_LNC015880)
Source: RNAcentral